GGGGGAUAUUGCACAAUGGGGGAAACCCUGAUGCAGCGACGCCGCGUGAGGGAAGACGGUCCUCUGGAUUGUAAACCUCUGUCUUCGGGGACGAAACGAGACGGUACCCGAGGAGGAAGCCACGGCUAACUACGUGCCAGCAGCCGCGGUAAUACGUAGGUGGCAAGCGUUGUCCGGAAUUACUGGGUGUAAAGGGAGCGUAGGCGGGCAGGCAAGUCAGGCGUGAAAUAUAUCGGCUCAACCGGUAACGGCGCUUGAAACUGCAGGUCUUGAGUGAAGUAGAGGUUGGCGGAAUUCCUAGUGUAGCGGUGAAAUGCGUAGAUAUUAGGAGGAACACCAGUGGCGAAGGCGGCCAACUGGGCUUUUACUGACGCUGAGGCUCGAAAGUGUGGGGAGCAAACAGGAUUAGAUACCCUGGUAGUCCACACCGUAAACGAUGAUUACUAGGUGUGGGGGGGACUGACCCCUUCCGUGCCGGAGUUAACACAAUAAGUAAUCCACCUGGGGAGUACGGCCGCAAGGUUGAAACUCAAAGGAAUUGACGGGGGCCCGCACAAGCAGUGGAGUAUGUGGUUUAAUUCGACGCAACGCGAAGAACCUUACCAGGUCUUGACAUCGUAUGCAUAGUGUAGAGAUACACGAAGUCCUUCGGGACAUACAGACAGGUGGUGCAUGGUUGUCGUCAGCUCGUGUCGUGAGAUGUUGGGUUAAGUCCCGCAACGAGCGCAACCCUUGUAUUUAGUUGCUACGCAAGAGCACUCUAGAUAGACUGCCGUGGACAACACGGAGGAAGGUGGGGAUGACGUCAAAUCAUCAUGCCCCUUAUGACCUGGGCUACACACGUACUACAAUGGCAAUGGAACAGAGGGAAGCGACUCAGCGAUGAGAAGCAGAUCCCGAAAAAUUGUCUCAGUUCGGAUUGCAGGCUGCAACUCGACUACAUGAAGCUGGAAUCGCUAGUAAUCGCAGAUCAGAAUGCUGCGGUGAAUACGUUCCCG
RNAcentral lists this ribosomal RNA (998 nucleotides) under uncultured bacterium. Its description in RNAcentral is "bacterial SSU rRNA". It matches the Rfam family "Bacterial small subunit ribosomal RNA", at positions 356 to 1376 of the family's 1533-position model. The record is from RNAcentral.